GUUGAUUCUGCCGGAGGCUACUGCUAUCGGGGUCCGACUAAGCCAUGCGAGUUGAGAGGGGUAAGCCCUCAGCAUAUUGCUCAGUAACACGCGGAUAACCUGCCCUUGGGUUCGGGAUAACCCCGGGAAACUGGGACUAAUACCGGAUAGAUCAAAGAAACUGGAAUGUUCUCUGGUUAAAAACUCCGGUGCCCAAGGAUGGGUCUGCGGCCUAUCAGGUAGUAGUGGGUGUAACGUACCUACUAGCCUACGACGGGUAAGGGUUGUGAGAGCAAGAGCCCUGAGAUGGAUUCUGAGACAUGAAUCCAGGCCCUACGGGGUGCAGCAGGCGCGAAAACUUUACACUGCGGGAAACCGCGAUAAGGGGACCCCGAGUGCCAGCACCUAGUGCUGGCUGUCCAGCUGUCCAAAUAACAGUUGUUAGCAAGGGCCGGGCAAGACCGGUGCCAGCCGCCGCGGUAACACCGGCGGCCCGAGUGGUAGCCGUUAUUAUUGGGUUUAAAGGGUCCGUAGCCGGCCUAUUAAGUCUCUUGGGAAAUCUGGCGACUCAAUCGUCAGGCGUCCAAGAGAUACUGGUAGGCUUGGGACCGGGAGAGGUGGGAGGUACUCCAGGGGUAGGGGUGAAAUCUCGUAAUCCUUGGGGGACCACCGAUGGCGAAGGCAUCCCACCAGAACGGGUCCGACGGUGAGGGACGAAAGCUGGGGGCACGAACCGGAUUAGAUACCCGGGUAGUCCUAGGCGUAAAUGAUGCGAGUUAAGUGUGGGGGCAUCUACGAGAUGGCCCUGUGCUGUAGGGUAGCCGUUAAACUCGCCGCCUCGGGAGUACGGUCGCAAGGCUGAAACUUAAAGGAAUUGGCGGGGGAGCACCACAAGGG
RNAcentral lists this ribosomal RNA (876 nucleotides) under uncultured archaeon. Its description in RNAcentral is "bacterial SSU rRNA". It matches the Rfam family "Archaeal small subunit ribosomal RNA", at positions 7 to 887 of the family's 1478-position model. The record is from RNAcentral.